This 1406-nucleotide ribosomal RNA is filed under the name uncultured bacterium. RNAcentral describes it as "16S ribosomal RNA". It matches the Rfam family "Bacterial small subunit ribosomal RNA". The record is from RNAcentral.
GGAUGAACGCUGGCGGCGUGGAUAAGGCAUGCAAGUCGAACGGUUGAAUAUGUACUUGUAUAUGUUCAAUAGUGGCGAACGGGUUAGUAACACGUAGAUUACAUACCCUAUUCAUGGGCAUAACCCAUCGAAAGAUGGGCUAAUUCCCAAUAGUCCGGUUCGUCGGUAAAGGCGAAAGCCGGAAUAGGAAUGGUCUGCGGCUUAUCAGCUUGUUGGUGGGGUAAUGGCCUACCAAGGCGAUGACGGGUAGGGGAUAUGAGAGUAUGUUCCCCAACAGANGCACUGAGACACGGGCCUCACUCCUACGGGAGGCAGCAGUCGAGGAUAUUUCGACAAUGGGCGAAAGCCUGAUCGAGCGACGCCGCGUGCUCGAAGAAGCCCUUCGGGGUGUAAAAAGCUUUUCUCCGUGAAGAACCUUUUAGGUGACGGUAGCGGAGGAAUAAGGGGAUCCUAAUUCUGUGCCAGCAGGAGCGGUAAUACAGAAUCCCCGAGCGUUAUCCGGAUUUAUUGGGCGUAAAGGGUCCGUAGGCGUUUUGUUAGGUUUUCUGUUAAAUAUCCAGGGCUCAACCUUGGAAAUGCAGAAAAAACCGGCAAAAUUGAGGACGUUAGAGGCUGAUAGAACGGUCGGUGUAGGGGUGAAAUCCGUUGAUAUCGACCGGAAUACCAAAAGCGAAGGCAUUCAGCUGGGGCGAUCUGACGCUGAGGGACGAAAGCGUGGGCAUGGAAAAGGAUUUAGAUACCCUUGUACUCCACGCUGUAAACGAUGGACACUGGCUAUUUGAAGUGUCGACCCUUUCAAGUGGCGAAGCUAACGCGUUAAGUGUCCCGCCUGGGAAGUACGGCCGCAAGGCUAAAACUCAAAGGAAUAGACGGGGCCUCACACAAGCGGUGGAUCAUGUGGCUUAAUUCGUCAGUAAACGAGGAACCUUACCAGGGCUUGACAGAUUAGUGAAAUCCCGUAGAAACACGGGCCCUCCGCAAGGACACUAAUUCAGGUGCCGCAUGGUUGUCGUCAGCAUGUGCUGUGAAGUGCACCCUUAAAUGGGGUAACAUGCGCAACCCUCACUCUAUGUUUUAAAUGUCAUAGAGAACUGCCUGAGACAAUCAGGAGGAAGGCGAGGAUGACGCCAAAUCAGCAUGGCCUUUUGAUGCCCUGGGCCGCACACAUGAUACAAUGGAGUUUAACAAUGGGCGAAGCCGCAAGGCGGAGGGAAUCCCACCAAACGGCUCCUUAAUUCGGAUUGAGGUCUGCAACUCGACCUCAUGAAGCUGGAAUCGCUAGUAAUCGCCAAUCAGCUAUGUGGCGAUGAAUAUGUUCCUGAGGCUUGUACUCACCGCCCGUCAAACCAGGAGAGCUGAUAGUACCCUAAGUCCCUCUUUUGAGGGCCCAAGGUAAGAUCAGUAAU